UCAGGCCUAACACAUGCAAGUCGAACGGCAGCAUGGAAGAGCUUGCUCUUCUGAUGGCGAGUGGCGAACGGGUGAGUAAAGCAUCGGAACGUACCGUGUAAUGGGGGAUAACGUAGCGAAAGUUACGCUAAUACCGCAUACGACCUGAGGGUGAAAGCAGGGGAUCGCAAGACCUUGCGUUAUACGAGCGGCCGAUGUCAGAUUAGCUAGUUGGUAGGGUAAAGGCCUACCAAGGCGACGAUCUGUAGCGGGUCUGAGAGGAUGAUCCGCCACACUGGGA
This 280-nucleotide ribosomal RNA is filed under the name uncultured bacterium. Its description in RNAcentral is "partial 16S ribosomal RNA". It matches the Rfam family "Bacterial small subunit ribosomal RNA", at positions 43 to 318 of the family's 1533-position model. The record is from RNAcentral.